This 436-nucleotide ribosomal RNA is filed under the name uncultured Clostridium sp. RNAcentral describes it as "partial 16S ribosomal RNA". It matches the Rfam family "Bacterial small subunit ribosomal RNA", at positions 341 to 792 of the family's 1533-position model. The record is from RNAcentral. Lineage: Bacteria; Bacillati; Bacillota; Clostridia; Eubacteriales; Clostridiaceae.
ACGGAAGGCAGCAGUGGGGAAUAUUGGGCGAUGGGCGCAAGCCUGACCCAGCAACGCCGCGUGAAGGAUGAAGGUCUUCGGAUUGUAAACUUCUUUGAUCAGGGACGAAUAAAUGACGGUACCUGCAGAACAAGUCACGGCUAACUACGUGCCAGCAGCCGCGGUAAUACGUAGGUGACAAGCGUUAUCCGGAUUCACCGGGUGUAAAGGGCGUGUAGGCGGUUUGGCAAGUCAGAAGUGAAAUUCCCGGGCUUAACUUGGGCGCUGCUUCUGAAACUGCUUUACUUGAGUACUGGAAAGGAUAGUGGAAUUCCUAGUGUAGCGGUAAAAUGCGCAGAUAUUAGGAGGAACACCGGUGGCGAAGGCGGCUAUCUGGACAGUAACUGACGCUGAGGCGCGAAAGCACGGGGAGCAAACAGGAUUAGAUACCCUGGUA